This 1359-nucleotide long non-coding RNA is filed under the name Homo sapiens (human). Lineage: Eukaryota; Metazoa; Chordata; Mammalia; Primates; Hominidae. The record is from RNAcentral.
GUGAGGACACUUUAAAAAAAAAUCGCCAAAAAACUGGACUUAGUUUCAUCUAUUGUAACAUUUACCUGAGAUGAUCAUUUCUUUAGUCUAGAAUUUGCCCCAAAUCAGAAGUAUACCUCUGAAUUAUCUGUAUGUGUCCUGGAUUCCUUGGGGUCAGAUUUUUAAAGUUACUUUAUAACCAUUUUGUCCAUUUGAUGCCAUUGUUUAUCAUCUUUUGAGAAAAAAGUUCUGUCAUACCCUUCUCUCCACAAAAAAGAGACUGAGAGGGAGAUCAAGUGAAAGGGUGCAAGCAAACUUAGUGACUCCUUGAGGUGUUUGUCAGUUUUGGCUUUUUUCUCCUUUGUUGUAUUCUUUAUGUAUUGUCUUGAUGUACUUAAUAUUACCUGAGUUUGAAAUGGAUGAAGACAGCUGCUACCAUUAAGGACCAAAUUUUAUGCUACCACUAAACAAAAAUACCCACUCAGUCUGUGUUAGAUUGUAUGUCUUUUUAAAGGUAUUUAGAGAUUCAACUAAGCUUUAAAGAGGGCUGAGCAGCUCAGGAAGCCUGUAAUGUGGGCAUAACUCUUUGGACCUGAUCUUGAUGCUUCUGCUGCUCUGUUGGCCUCUGAAGAGCAAUAUCUAAUUUAUUAUUACUGUAAUUUUUUAAAAGGCUUUAAAGUGCCUCAGGGGUCCCCUGAAACUAAUUUUCUAUUUCUGGGAUUCCCUGGAUUCAUUAUAUGAGAUGGUGACAUGAUUAGAGGAAUUCUUUUUUAGUAUGAAAAUUGUCCCUUUUCUUCUUCAGUACUUGCCUCCUUGCUGGCAUUGAAUUAACACAGGGACAAAAUAUGGUUAAUUUUUUAUUUCUAAUUCUCCCAACAAACCCCUGUUGCCCAGUAUUUAUGUGGUGGCCUUUAACCACCUGAGGGAAAAAAUGAGCUUAUUCAAGCUGCCAAUAUUUAUCUAUGGGCUGUAGCAGUACACUGAAUUGUACUGUGCCAGGGAUAUUGAGAUGCUCUGGGGGUAUAUUGUAUACCUGCCAGUUUUCUUCAUUUCUGAAUUGAGUUUUCUUUUCUUGAUGUUGGUUUCCUUCAUAUCACCUCAAGGUUUAGAUUUGUGAAGGAAUAAGCAUGAUGGAAAUAAUAGUCUUGAAAGGAGAUAUGUUGUAUAUAAUCAGGAGGAAGAGGAAGGAAGGACUUACCCAUUUUGAUAUUUUGCUGUAGGUGGCCAGUUUUGUUUCUCAUAGGGAAAUCUGACCCCCACCUGUCAUGUUGGCUCCUAAGGAACUGCUGUUGUAAGCGGCUCAUCAAGAGUUGAACUUCACGUAGCCUUGUUGGGAAUAUGGAAAAGGAAGAAAGCCACAGGACUGCCCAUUCAGUCUUG